Long non-coding RNA from Arvicola amphibius (Eurasian water vole), 2141 nucleotides. RefSeq lists it as uncharacterized. The transcript has 3 exons. Lineage: Eukaryota; Metazoa; Chordata; Mammalia; Rodentia; Cricetidae. The record is from RefSeq and is a predicted model, not a curated record.
CACAUUUUCACACAUACACACAUUCUCAGUUGAGCCUGUUUUAUAACAUAUUUGAUUACUAUCUACUCUAUUUGAUCGAGCAUGUUCUAUAACGUCUGAUUAUUAUAUCUACUUCUAUCACUGGCUUCCUCCCUACAGAUGGAUCAUAAUUACAUGCUGGCACCCCACCUCAGUCACUCAACUGUUCUGAAAAGGUCAAUAUGACUUUUAACAAAAUGUCUUUAUGUAAUGUCAGUAGUUGAUAUAUUCCUGCACCAAUAAUUAUUGAGAGAUGUUGAUCAGAACUAAGAUUUGGUCUAUAUAUACUUAAUUCAAACAUCAAGCAGCCUUUAUUUUUAUCUUUUUCUCCACAGUGAUCACGGUUUUGGGGUUUAUUGUUAACACUUUAGGAUCCUAACAUGAAUCUGAGCCUGUGUGGCCUGAGAUGCUGAGGAAAUGAAGCUCCUCUGAGAGGCCAGAGGCAAGCUGGCAGGGGAACAUUCUAGGGCUCAGGGAAAGGGCUGACCCAAGAGAAAGGCUUUCUGAAUUCCUUGGCCCAGACCCUCCCAGGCCUGGUCUUCUUCUCUGUUCUGGAACGGGAGGUAGACUCUUGUCUGUGAGCUGCAGCCAAGUUUCAUCUCCCCAGGGCACUGGAUUCUGCAGAGAACUGAACCAGUGCCAGUAGGGAGAAGGCUUUGCAGCUCAGCUAGCCAAGGAGCGCAUCUGCAAGGACCCGAGGUCUGGAGACAGUGACUGUGGUUAGAAAGAGACAUACAGAGGUGUCUGGGAGGAGAACUAGCCCUUGGGAGAGCUACAGCACCUCAACUCUUCAACUUUUGACAAACAUCUCUACGUGCUCAUGGUAGACAGGAAGGGUGGCUGGUUAUAUGAGUCGCCAGUCUCAUAGCUGCAAUAAUUGCCUUUUAGCAAAUGUGACUCAUAGGAUUGAGCGGAUGGAACAGGCUCUGCUCUUCUUUCCUGGGCGGUACCCACAUCACCUUGAACAAGAGAGAGAAAGACAUUUGGGUUAUGGGUCAAUGCCCUUCUGCCAGAGAAAAGGGUGAUGGUGAGGGAGGCUGGGGAUGGCAUUGCCAGCAAAUGGAAAUGAUGUAAGUCAAACAACAAUAGUGGGGAGCAUUUGUUUAGUUCUAGCUAAAUAUCAGGCACUUUGCCUCUAUUGCUACUCCCUAAAUCAGCCAAAGUAGCUAUUGGAAUAGCUGCUGAAGGACAAGGAAGCUCGUUAAAGCUCAUGCAGGAUUCUAAGUUCCUGACUGAUGCCAGGUCUGUCUGAUGCCAAUCCUAAAGCAGUUAGAGUGCCAUUUGUUGCUCUUCUAGAUUGAGACCCUAAAAAUGGUGGAGAACACAAACCAUAAGAAAGGAAGGAAGUUUGACUCGGGCAUGGAAGUCAGAGAGGAAAGGACAGAAGGUCGGAAGUCAGUUAGAACAGGGAAGGUGCAGGAUUAUCAGCCACAGUCAAGGAUAUGAUAGAACAGUCACCAAGAAAGCUCAGUCACCUGGGCCACCCAGGCUUACAGAGGAAAAUGUGAGCAGGGUUAGACCCCUCUGCUGAGGAAGAAAUGAAAACUGGUUAGAUGAUAAGAAAGGAAAAAAAAUCAUCUACUCUCCUCAGGAUUACCUGAAUCCCAAAUGAGCAUUCUGUAGAGUUCAGAAAGGGGAAAGAAGUGUCCCUUUGGCGUUUGGUCCUCACUCCCUCACAAAAAGCAAUGCACUAAUUAUCAGCACCAACUUUCAAGUAAUUGGAAAUAUUCUGGUCAGGACUAAAUUUCAAAAUAUUUCUGAGUAGGUACACAGGAGCAAGGUCCCAUGCAACAAUUGACUGGACACCUCCCGUCCCUCCUUGGAACCACCCCCGGUCAUCCUAUCAACUGCUGAUGUGUGGAGACAGAGUCUCUGUUGGUGAAGUAGGUGUGUAAGAGAAGAUUCUCAUGUUGGUGCGUCCAGCUUCAGUGGGCGUGCCAGUGAAGGAGUCUGAAGUAUCUAAAGUCACAGGUCAGGAAGUCACCGUCUCACAUCCCUGUGUGGGCUUACUUCCCACUGACAGGGUCUCCUUUGGCCCAGGAUGGUCUUGAACUUGCUACACGGCUGACAGUAACUUUGAACUUCAGAUUCUCCGGUGUCUGACUCCCAAGGGCUGGGAGUAA